RNAcentral lists this ribosomal RNA (253 nucleotides) under uncultured bacterium. RNAcentral describes it as "partial 16S ribosomal RNA". It matches the Rfam family "Bacterial small subunit ribosomal RNA", at positions 524 to 776 of the family's 1533-position model. The record is from RNAcentral.
UACGUAGGGAGCGAGCGUUAUCCGGAUUUAUUGGGUGUAAAGGGUGCGUAGACGGGUAAACAAGUUAGUUGUGAAAUACCUCGGCUUAACUGAGGAACUGCAACUAAAACUAUAUAUCUUGAGUACUGGAGGGGAAAGCGGAAUUCCUAGUGUAGCGGUGAAAUGCGUAGAUAUUAGGAAGAACACCGGUGGCGAAGGCGGCUUUCUGGACAGUAACUGACGUUGAGGCACGAAAGUGUGGGGAGCAAACAGG